AAUGACGUCUCCGGCUGGGCCCCGCCUGCGCGCCGCCUCGCACCACGUGGGGGGCGGGGCCUAAGGUCGGCCCUCGCGCCUGCGUGCUCUCCACGUCCAAAACCUGCCCGGGCUGCGCCGGGACGUGUUCCAGCGCUCCCGGCCGCCCUCCAAAGCAUUCUUCUGUCUGCGCCCUCCCCCAACCUUCUUUUGAUCUGAAAGAAUCAGAAGCCUAUUAUCGCUUGACAGAUUCUGGCAAUAAGGUUCAUGUUGGUAGAAACCUUGGACGUCCAGAUCACAGGACAGGAUAAGGACUUCAGUUUACUAUGACCUGGAAAUGAAAUGAGAUCCUUAUCUUUCUCUUCUGCCACUCCUUAAAAAAAUAAAUCAAGACGCUUAACCGAUACUAGUAAUAAAAACUGCAGUAGAAGGAGCAGCAAAUAAAUGCAAUUGUUUUACCUCAUAUUUUGGUUAAACUGCAUCCACUCCAUUCCAAGAUACGAGGAAAGGCAUUUUAAGCCUAGAAGCUUGUCUAACAUCUCUCCCAAAUAUUUAGGUGAUCCAAUAAAAGUUAUUAACAAACAAGUCUUGUUUCCUGCAGAUUCCCUGAACCACUUCUCCCACAAUGCCAUUACAAAACUACUACCUGCAACCAAGGUACUUCAGUCUUCCAGAUAAACCAUUCCAUAGUUCCUCAGUCAUUUUUGUACUCUAGUGUAGCUUGCAGGGAAAAAAUGGAGGAGGAAAAGUUUAAUUUAGUUGUCGUUAGAAAUAUGUAAAACAUCUACAAUUACAUAUGAGAAACAGAGAUUUUUUUCAGGUGAUAUCUUUUACGGGACUGUAACAGAGAACCCUAGCCCUGUUUCUAAGAGACAGGGUGGUACCUUUAAAUCCAGAACCUUCCAGUCACGGCCAGCCAGUCAAGUAGGGGUUAAGGCUCAAGCCCUGCCAGCCGGUCAAGUGACAGGAACAGGAAGGCCAGGAUCCUACAAAUGGCAAGUGGAGAAGGUCAGAGGGGCAGGAGAGAGGGGACUCCCAAUGAUCGUGGGGCCGCGGCCGCAGUCUCUUUCAGAAGAAUAUGCCACGCUGUAAGCCAGAAGCAUGAUCAUCUAAA
Long non-coding RNA from Alligator mississippiensis (American alligator), 1093 nucleotides. RefSeq lists it as uncharacterized. The transcript is spliced from 3 exons. The record is from RefSeq and is a predicted model, not a curated record. Lineage: Eukaryota; Metazoa; Chordata; Crocodylia; Alligatoridae.